RNAcentral lists this ribosomal RNA (958 nucleotides) under Milionia basalis. RNAcentral describes it as "partial 16S rRNA". The record is from RNAcentral. Lineage: Eukaryota; Metazoa; Arthropoda; Insecta; Lepidoptera; Geometridae.
AAAGAGUUAAACAAUUAAAAAAGUUAUUGUAGUAAAAUUAUUUUAAAUAAUUGUUUUGAAAUGAAAUGUUAAUCGUUUUUAAAUAUAUCUAGUUUUUUUAGAAAAAAAUUUAAUUUUAAAUUUAUUUUAAAAAUUAAAUUAAUUAAUUAAUUUAAUUUAAAAUAAUUUUUAUAUUUUAAGGGAUAAGCUUUAAAUUAAAUUUUUAUAAUAAAAUUUUUUAAUAUUUGAAAAUUUUAGGAUUUAUAUUGUUAAUAAAUUUUAUUUUGUUAUAAAUAAAUUUCAUUUAAAUUAAAAUUUAAUAAAAUUUAUAUUUAAUUUUUUAUAAAAAAAUAUUUUUUAAUAAUAAAAAAUUAGAAAUAAUGAUAAAAUUAGUAUAUAAAAAAAAAUUAAUUUUAAUUUAAAAAGUUAUAAAUUAAUUAAUUAAAAGGAAUUCGGCAAAUAUUUAUUUUCACUUGUUUAUCAAAAACAUGUCUUUUUGUUUAUAAUUUAAAGUCUAAUCUGCCCACUGAUUUUAAUUAAAGGGCUGCAGUAUUUUGACUGUACAAAGGUAGCAUAAUCAUUAGUCUUUUAAUUGAUGACUUGUAUGAAAGAUUGAAUGAAAAAUUUACUGUCUCUUAAUUAAUUUAUAGAAUUUAAUUUUUUAUUUAAAAAGUUAAAAUAUUUUAAAAAGACGAGAAGACCCUAUAGAGUUUUAUAAUUAAAAUUUUAAUAAAUUAUUUAUAAAAUUAAUAUUUUUAUAAAUUUAAUUAUUUUAUUGGGGUGAUGAAAAAAUAAAUAAAACUUUUUUUAAUAAAUUAACAAAUAUAGUUGAUUAUGUGAUCCAAUAUUAUUGAUUAUAAGAUUAAAUUACCUUAGGGAUAACAGCGUAAUUUUUUUUUUUAGUUCAAAUAGGAAAAAAAGUUUGCGACCUCGAUGUUGGAUUAAGAUAAAAUUUAAAUGCAAAAGUUUAAAAUUUUUG